CAUAUGAUCACAUAUCGCCCUCAUUAUUAGCACAAUAGAUACAUAUACACAUGUACGCUUCGUCAAGCAUGUUUCCUCGGCUGUUGUUGUUGGCGGUCAUUGUGAGUGUCAUCGCUGCCGAGUACUGUAGGUUUGAAAAAAGUAAAAGACACGCGAAGUACAAGCGAUGUCCUCAUGGGUGUUGCACUGGCGACUGUUGUGAUGAACCUGUCGAGGAAGAGGAAACAAGUGUCGGUCUCUACAUUGGUGUUCCGGUGGUGUCGGCGAUAGUGCUCGCCGUCAUCUCCUAUCUAUGCCCAUGCUGCAGCGGUGGUGAUGGCGGAAUCGAGAUUGACAUGUAGGUCUUCGUGAAGACUGCUCUGAGGUGUGACGAAUUCCGUGCUGUGUGUACAACCCACGACAAGCCGCUUACCGCCAAUGCGUGAUAUACUACUCAAAAUAAUUUACAGAACACCCGAUUCCUUCAUUACGUUUUGUUCCUAACUACAUGUGCAUACGGGAACAAUCAUUUCAUAUCGUUCGGGCAAUAAACUGAUACCGCCACUGGAGAAAGUGGUUGUCGGAUAUCUCAAAUGGUCAAGCGCAAAUCCAUAGCACGAGGUGAGGAUCGCCGCGGCGGUACAUCAUGGCAAGAAGAUACUCUAUGACGUUUGUUAGAAACACUGGACUCUUUUAAUUUCCUUGAUCUUUUUGUUUGUUCCCAGAUCAUUCCGACACAUUUGUCAUGUUUACUUCCUUGUUUAUUGAGAAACGCUGAGUGUUUAUUACAAGCGGUUGAUCAGUGGUUUGAAAAUGGUCGAUGUCUGAUUUCUUUUCAAGUAUUCCUACUCCUCAUUUUUGUCUGAUUUGUAUCUUCAUUAAAUGAAAUCCUCACACGUUA
This is a long non-coding RNA of Haliotis rufescens (red abalone), 880 nucleotides long. RefSeq lists it as uncharacterized. The transcript has 4 exons. Lineage: Eukaryota; Metazoa; Mollusca; Gastropoda; Lepetellida; Haliotidae. The record is from RefSeq and is a predicted model, not a curated record.